RNAcentral lists this ribosomal RNA (622 nucleotides) under Salmonella enterica subsp. enterica serovar Infantis. RNAcentral's name for it is "bacterial SSU rRNA". It matches the Rfam family "Bacterial small subunit ribosomal RNA", at positions 1 to 614 of the family's 1533-position model. The record is from RNAcentral. Lineage: Bacteria; Pseudomonadati; Pseudomonadota; Gammaproteobacteria; Enterobacterales; Enterobacteriaceae.
AAAUUGAAGAGUUUGAUCAUGGCUCAGAUUGAACGCUGGCGGCAGGCCUAACACAUGCAAGUCGAACGGUAGCACAGAGAGCUUGCUCUCGGGUGACGAGUGGCGGACGGGUGAGUAAUGUCUGGGAAACUGCCUGAUGGAGGGGGAUAACUACUGGAAACGGUGGCUAAUACCGCAUAACGUCGCAAGACCAAAGAGGGGGACCUUCGGGCCUCUUGCCAUCAGAUGUGCCCAGAUGGGAUUAGCUUGUUGGUGAGGUAACGGCUCACCAAGGCGACGAUCCCUAGCUGGUCUGAGAGGAUGACCAGCCACACUGGAACUGAGACACGGUUCAGACUCCUACGGGAGGCAGCAGUGGGGAAUAUUGCACAAUGGGCGCAAGCCUGAUGCAGCCAUGCCGCGUGUAUGAAGAAGGCCUUCGGGUUGUAAAGUACUUUCAGCGGGGAGGAAGGUGUUGUGGUUAAUAACCGCAGCAAUUGACGUUACCCGCAGAAGAAGCACCGGCUAACUCCGUGCCAGCAGCCGCGGUAAUACGGAGGGUGCAAGCGUUAAUCGGAAUUACUGGGCGUAAAGCGCACGCAGGCGGUCUGUCAAGUCGGAUGUGAAAUCCCCGGGCUCAACC